CAGAUAUUAGUUUAAUUAAAAUAUUAAUUUUGGAGAUUAAUGAAGAGACUAGUCUUAUAUCUGA
This 64-nucleotide transfer RNA is filed under the name Lanka ramakrishnai. Its description in RNAcentral is "tRNA-Pro". The record is from RNAcentral. Lineage: Eukaryota; Metazoa; Arthropoda; Insecta; Coleoptera; Chrysomelidae.